Molecule: long non-coding RNA, 2689 nt
Organism: Bubalus bubalis (water buffalo)
Lineage: Eukaryota; Metazoa; Chordata; Mammalia; Artiodactyla; Bovidae
Exons: 4
Source: RefSeq, a predicted model, not a curated record
CUAGCUCAGGAUACAGAAGUCUUUCCUGGCUGCUGAAACCUCAUCCCAGCUCUUGCUGGCACUGUGGGCCCCUCUUAGGCUCUGCUCUGAGUUCCAUUUGUCCCUCAGCCUGGGCAUGUUGUAGCAGAGGCUGCCAGUCACCUUGGCUCUCGAACAAUGGGCACCAUGACAGUGCUUCUGCUCUCAGUUCAUUGAGUUCCUGAGCCUCAUCUUGAGUGUGUGUGGGAACUUCUGGGUCUUGUUCAUAUCACUCAGGGUAGAACAGCUCAGAAAGUUGAAACCCUGCAACUGUGCACUCCCACCCCUCCCCCUUACCACCCUGCCUGACCUUGUUGUGUGGCAGAGUUUAUCUUACUAUGACUGCUUGCCAGACUUGGGCUGGGACUGUUUGUGAGGGAACCCCCUCCAGGAGUCUGAAAUAUGAAUCACAGCAAAGCCCCCCACUGCCCUUGGCAGUGUCCACCUGGCCUCCCCUGCCUCGGUGGUAUCGUCAACCCAUCUAACAUCACUCUCCCAAAGAAUAUGAGAUUUUCACUUCCUUGCCCUGGUCCUCACACAUUAGAAUGAUCCAAGAACUCUUCAAAAAUAUCUUAUUUAACUGCUUUGAGGGGACCCAGGCAUUGGUGGUUUUACAACAAAGUGCCCCAAGUGAUUCUCAUGCAGGGUUGAGAACCACGGUUGUUAGCCCAGUGGUUCUCAGUCUUCACUGAUUAUUAGAACCAUCUGGGGAGGUUUCAUGCUCAGGCAACAUCCUACAGCAAUGAAAUCAGAAUCACUAGCACAGGACUUUUUAAGUUCUUUGGCUUAUUCCAAUAGGAGUCAAAUGUGACAACCCUUGUUCUUUCAGGUCAGUUACUCUCAAACGCUAAUGUAUGUACAAUCACCUACGGCCUUUGUCAAAAUGCAGGUUCUGAUUCAAUAGGUCUGAGGUGGGGCCUCAGAGUCUUAGUUACUAAAAAGCUCCCAGCUGAUGUCAAUGGUGCAGGUCUUUAGGCCAUAUCCUUCUUCCCAAAGGACAUUUGCCUUCCCACCCCCACAGACUAACUGGAUUCAGAGAGAGGGAAAUGGUCUUGUAAGUGAGUGACGUAUUUCAAAGUUAUUAUGCCUAUUACAUAUUUCCUGGUAGUUGUUGGGGUUUUAUCUUCCAAAAGUCAGGGGAUCUUCCCAACCCAGGGAUCGAAGCCACAUCUUCUGCAUUGGCAGAUACGUUCUUAAAACCCCAUGGCAAGCUUACCCGCAUGAGAAAGUUCUACAUAAUGAGAUGCAGCCAGAAGCACCCAAGGAUAGCUUCCCUUCCCAAAGGAAGAAACCAGUCUCACCAGAAGGAAAACUUUUGCUUCUUCCUGCUUGGAGCACGGCCUUGAGACUUGGAGGAAUAGUAGGUAUAGUGACGGUGGAUGGGGUUCUCAGAUGAAACAUAGAAGGACCAGUUAAAUUUGAGUUUUGGAUAAUUGACUUUUUUCUUUUUUUGGCCACGUUGUGCAUGGCUUGCAGGGAUCUUAGUUCCCAGACCAGGGAUGGACACUGAAAGCGUGGACUCAACCACUGGACCCCCAGGGGGUUCCCAACAAACAGUUUUUCAGUGUGUUGUAGUCUCUUCUGUUGUGGUCACCCUCAGAAAUGGAUGAACCCCUACCCCAAACUUGGUUCAGAUGUUGAGACUUCCGCUGUCAUACACACAUCGAGAGAGUGUGAAAGGUUUAUGAGAGUGAGGGUUUCUGCGGACAUCAGUGGACACGCUCCCCAGCAGACGCAAAAGUUGACUUGAGAGAGCAGGGAGGGGCGGUUUCCUUGGGGUUUUGUGGCCAGGAGGGGUGGGGCGGAGAGGAAGGGGCUGGGCUGGUGUAGUUUGAACUUCAGCUGCUACGGAAGGAGCAUCGGUUCCUAUCAGCUUGCUUGGGCGUAGGCAGACGGGAAGAAGGCAGUGAUGAGGCUUGAAAACUGUCAUCAGUUGAACUCUUUAUAACAGUGUGUUCCAAAGAUUGUAGGGAUAUUCUUAUACUAUUUGAGCUACAGGUUUUAGAGCUCAGCCUUUAUGUCUCAUUGAUGAUUCUGAAGUCAUGGUCUUUCAGAGACACUGGACACACAGAUGAGUUUGUCAGAAGGGUUUAAUCUUCACUUGGCUAGACUGUAAAUUAUCCUAGUCUUAUGAAGCAGGGUGAUCUCCUAUCAGCAGGCACCUCCCCAUAAGAAGUGGAAAUGCUGCCUGUAGCCUGAAUUGCACUGAAUUCCUUAAGUCCACCUGACCUAAACCAGUUUGGUUCUCACAGUGAAACCACACUGUGGUGUCUCCAAUGUUGACCCUCCUUCUUGCUCAUGUGAACUCAAUCCAGCAGUCUACCUUUGCAGAAAGUCUGUCUCAGUACUUGUUGAAAAGACUGAAUCACUGCCUUCCUUAAGUUAACAUGCUACGAUCCUGUGAUCCCAGACUCUCAAAGAGCCUUGCCCUUUUUCCUGUGCAUGCAAGAUUACUCAGAAGGAAUUAAGUUCAAGUAAGAUAACAAGGGUAAAUAAAACCACAUUCUAUCCAUAAUAAUUAAAUUUCUGUUUCCUGCAAGGCUUGUCCAUUAUAACCUAGACUUACCAUUCCCUGGAUUGGGAGAAGCGUGAACUCUUUUAUUCAAAUAUACUUUAUUUAAACUCUUCUAGUGAAAUGAUGAAAUGUUUAUAGUGAAAACAAAGGCAAAAA